CCUACGGGUGGCAGCAGUGGGGAAUAUUGCACAAUGGGGGAAACCCUGAUGCAGCGACGCCGCGUGAGUGAAGAAGUAAUUCGUUAUGUAAAGCUCUAUCAGCAGGGAAGAAAAUGACGGUACCUGAGUAAUAAGCCCCGGCUAACUACGAGCCAGCAGCCGCGGUAAUACGUAGGGGGCAAGCGUUAUCCGGAAUUACUGGGUGGAAAGGGAGCGGAGACGGCAGUGCAAGUCUGGAGUGAAAGGCGGGGGCUCAACCCCCGGACUGCUCUGGAAACUGUACGGCUGGAGUGCAGGAGAGGUAAGUGGAAUUCCUAGUGUAGCGGUGAAAUGCGUAGAUAUUAGGAGGAACACCAGUGGCGAAGGCGGCUUACUGGACUGUAACUGACGUUGAGGCUCGAAAGCGUGGGGAGCAAACAGGAUUAGAUACCCUUGUAGUC
This 440-nucleotide ribosomal RNA is filed under the name uncultured bacterium. Its description in RNAcentral is "partial 16S ribosomal RNA". It matches the Rfam family "Bacterial small subunit ribosomal RNA", at positions 338 to 795 of the family's 1533-position model. The record is from RNAcentral.